GGACAUGUUGAACAACUGGUUUUUCCUACAUGUCUGUUGCUUCCAAAAUCUUUCUUUUUUUCUUCACAUGCCUGGACUAAGCCCCCAGAAGAAUUUGGAACCACAUAUGUCCUCUCUCUUAAAGUAGAAGAAGAAAACAAGAAGAAGCAUAUUUCUUCCCUCCAAAGCUCUUGUACCAGUGAUGUCCUUAUUGGUUUUAUGCUACAUCCAGCUCAUGUUCUCCAUUUUCUUCUGUGUGAUGCUCAUCUUUUUUUCUUUGGAGAUGAAAAAACUGAGACUCAGAGGAGAUCACAGAAUUUCCAAGCUGGAAAGAAUCUCACUGGCCGUCGAGAGACCAUCCAAACACAUACAUUGAGGAAGAAUCUAUGACAGCAUACCAUGUAGAGAAUCAUCCACUUUCCCAAAGAGAAGCUGGUUGACUUAUACCAUACCUAUACAACUAGUAGGUAUUAAAGUAGAAUUUGAACCUGGUUCUCUUCUGACUCCAUGUUCUUGCCUACUUGACCGUUUUACGUUUAUUAAUCAAUUUGGUGACUGAAAUGGAGAACCACCAGUUUUUUUGUUUGUUUGUUUAUUAAACUAUUUGGAUUAGACAGAGA
This 599-nucleotide long non-coding RNA is filed under the name Monodelphis domestica (gray short-tailed opossum). RNAcentral describes it as "lncRNA (ENSMODG00000034723.2)". The record is from RNAcentral. Lineage: Eukaryota; Metazoa; Chordata; Mammalia; Didelphimorphia; Didelphidae.